CUUUCAUCUCGUCACGUCACCUUCCAUCUUCGCUAACGUCAAAAACUUACUGAUACAAAGUACUGACGCUGGAGACUCCUUGCUAUGUUAAAUAACAGCAGGGUCGCAGGGGAACCUGGAGCCUAUCCCAGGAAGCAUCGGGCACGAGGCGGGGUACACCCUGGACAGGGUGCCAAUCCAUUGCAGGGCACAAUCACAUACACACUCACACACCCAUUCAUACACUACAGGCACUUUAGACACACCAAUCAGCCUACCAUGCAUGUCUUUGGACUGGGGGAGGAAACCGGAGUACCCGGAGGAAACCCCCGCAGCACGGGGAGAACAUGCAAACUCUACACACACAGGGCCACAGUGGGAAUCGAACCCCCGACCCUGGAGGUGUGAGGGGAACGUGCUAACCACUAAUCCACC
Ictalurus punctatus (channel catfish) is the source of this 414-nucleotide long non-coding RNA. Lineage: Eukaryota; Metazoa; Chordata; Actinopteri; Siluriformes; Ictaluridae. The record is from Ensembl.